UACGUAGGGGGCAAGCGUUAUCCGGAUUUACUGGGUGUAAAGGGAGCGUAGACGGCGAUGCAAGCCAGAUGUGAAAGCCCGGGGCUCAACCCCGGGACUGCAUUUGGAACUGUAUAGCUAGAGUGUCGGAGAGGCAGGCGGAAUUCCUAGUGUAGCGGUGAAAUGCGUAGAUAUUAGGAGGAACACCAGUGGCGAAGGCGGCCUGCUGGACGAUGACUGACGUUGAGACACGAAAGCGUGGGGAGCAAACAGG
This 253-nucleotide ribosomal RNA is filed under the name uncultured bacterium. RNAcentral's name for it is "partial 16S ribosomal RNA". It matches the Rfam family "Bacterial small subunit ribosomal RNA", at positions 524 to 776 of the family's 1533-position model. The record is from RNAcentral.